CUGCGACUGUUCUCUGCGACUCGAGCCCAGAUACAGCCGCGAAUUGCUGUUCAUCCUCUGUUUACCGUGCUUCCUAUUCCUUCUCUGCUUCUAGGCCCCUCGUCUUGACGCCCAGAGGCCACAAUUCUUCAUUUCUCACCGAUUCUUGAACCCCUUAUCCGCUCUGGCGACUGAUCAUGUCUAUUCACCUGCAAAUUCUAUAAGCUGCUCUGCCCUCCCUGGAAGAAUGGAGCUCAAUUGCCGCUAGGCCACCCAUUCUUGUUUCUGCCGGCGAUUUGAGAAUCCAACCCCUCCAAAGGCAGGUACUCGGAUUUCCCAGUUGGGCACUCAAUGUCGUAGAAGGAUAUAUCUCUUCUGUAUGUUACAAAGUACUACUCACCUAUACACAUUUAUACUUUUGUUUUUACACCAUCAAACAAAUCUAUAUAUUUCGGAACCAUGUCUUUUGCGGACCUUAUAAUUGUAGUGGCUCGAGUUGCCGAUGUCCUCGAAGCUAUCCAGGACCAUCUCUGCCAAGAGGUACCAUAGACCGCUACUUCUAUCCGCCAGUCCCAUGCAAACAGCAUUGAUUCGAAGAAGAUGACGUGUAUUGCUGUACGUCAAGAUCUGGUAUGUAUAUGAAUGAUGCAUGAGCAUGAACAAGGUAUUAGUUGAUGUUUCAAAGCAAGAGGAUACAACAGAUUACUUGUCGAUACAUGAUAUCUCGGAUAUCCAGACUGUCUUCCAUUGCCCCAGAAUUCUAUACGGAGUAAUAAUCACCACUAUAGCGGGGUCAGUGAGACGGUUAAUAAUAUUUCUUGAGUAAUUUUCUAUUCACGUAUGUUUCGUCGCGAUAUUCAACUGUGGAUGGUAAUCCCUUUUCCUUGCGUUUAGCCUUUUCAGCCAGCCACUUUUCGAACCUGUCGUUCCGUUAGUGAUUGGAUUUGCUGAGACCUUUUGAAAGUGGCUAACCAUUUUUUCAUCUUCGCGCGGCUUCCAUACGUGUUAGCCGUGUAUAUGCACCCGGGCGUCAUUACUCACCUUUUCUCAUUUCCCACAUUAACCGUGGCUAUCAUCUUCAAGUCUGCACCUGGUAGUGACAAGGCGAAGCACGUCAAUUCAAAGAAACUCGAGUGUUCCGAGUACGGUACCCCUAAUUCCCAUCUUUAUCAGUUUUGUUUCCUCUACAUUAAAAAGAAAACAGCUCUGCACGACUCACCAUACAUCAUGAAAUUCCUAUUACUCCCCCUCAUAGUCUUUAAAUCCCCCUCCCCAAAUCUCUUCGCCUGAUCCCGUCGUAUAACAGUAUUCACAUCGGGCAACAUAUCCGUCCCCGCAGGUGGAGAAUAACUCCAUCCGGUUGGGCGGAACCCUAAGACUCGGUCGAAAUGGGGGUGAAGAAGGGUGAGAUAGGAUUGCAAGCGGUCGAGCUGGAUGUUACCUAGGGGUAAAAGGUGGACUUGGGCUUCAGUAGGAUCGGAGGUAAGCAUGGAAUGGAGUUCGGGAUCGGUUUGGCAAAGCAAGAUUCCUUUUUUGCGCUGAUCGCAAUAGAUUUUGGAUCCUAUGGCUUUUGCAACCGCUUUAAAAGGUUGUCAAUAUGGAUGAAACUGGACAUUAAUGGAAGUAUGCUCACCCUUGACUAUUCUUUCUUUUCCGAUGGAGUAAGUUCCGACGACCACCAAAGUCCGACCCUUUACUCUUUUUCCAACUUCUCCCAAAUCUUCCUUGACUUCCUCCUUAACCCCUUCUUCCUUCUUCACCAACCACCCUUGCAUCAUCUGCUUCUCCCUUUCACCCUUCUCGUCCUUUAUUUCAACCUCAAUUUCUCUCUCUCCUCCAUCCUCCGUCUUUAGUGUGACUUUCCUUCCCCCUCCGCAAGUCAUACCUGCCACGCCCGAUACUCCUAUGGCCGAACCUUGCAGCACUGCCUUAAGUGAUGGCGCGUCCUCCGACUCGCCGACGACAUUUCGCCUGGCAAGCGUGGCACACGCGUUGAUCACAAGCGGUUGAGGAGGGAAACAGUAUUUAGGAUUGAGAUAGGUUGUAUCGAGAUAGCAUGUAUUGAUAGGUGCACGGGCU
Molecule: small RNA, 2058 nt
Filed under: Cryptococcus neoformans H99
Lineage: Eukaryota; Fungi; Basidiomycota; Tremellomycetes; Tremellales; Cryptococcaceae
Description: Cryptococcus neoformans var. grubii H99 hypothetical RNA
Source: RNAcentral